RNAcentral lists this ribosomal RNA (253 nucleotides) under uncultured bacterium. Its description in RNAcentral is "partial 16S ribosomal RNA". It matches the Rfam family "Bacterial small subunit ribosomal RNA", at positions 524 to 776 of the family's 1533-position model. The record is from RNAcentral.
UACGAAGGGGGCUAGCGUUGCUCGGAAUUACUGGGCGUAAAGCGCACGUAGACGGCUUCUUAAGUCGGUGGUGAAAUCCUGGAGCUCAACUCCAGAACUGCCUUCGAUACUGGGAAGCUCGAGUCCGGGAGAGGUGAGUGGAACUGCGAGUGUAGAGGUGAAAUUCGUAGAUAUUCGCAAGAACACCAGUGGCGAAGGCGGCUCACUGGCCCGGUACUGACGCUGAGGUGCGAAAGCGUGGGGAGCAAACAGG